UAAAUUGAGGCCAAAAGUUUAGGCGCUUAGCUGUUAACUAAGAGAUAGUGGGAUAAAUACUCAUCAAUUUAG
Molecule: transfer RNA, 72 nt
Filed under: Strigocuscus celebensis (little Celebes cuscus)
Lineage: Eukaryota; Metazoa; Chordata; Mammalia; Diprotodontia; Phalangeridae
Description: tRNA-Asn
Rfam family: tRNA
About the family: Transfer RNA (tRNA) molecules are approximately 80 nucleotides in length. Their secondary structure includes four short double-helical elements and three loops (D, anti-codon, and T loops).
Source: RNAcentral